This is a long non-coding RNA of Tachyglossus aculeatus (Australian echidna), 1163 nucleotides long. RefSeq lists it as uncharacterized. The record is from RefSeq and is a predicted model, not a curated record. Lineage: Eukaryota; Metazoa; Chordata; Mammalia; Monotremata; Tachyglossidae. The transcript has 3 exons.
CUCUCUGCUCUCUCUCUCUGCUCCCCAGCAGAGCAGGGCUCAUCCAGGCCCCAAGCCCCGAGGAGUGAUCUGCUUGCCUCCUUCGGAAGCCUCCCGCCUCUCCCCUUCCCGGACGCCCCUGAGACCAGACUCGACCUUGGCAGCUGGAUCGGAGGCCUCUGCGGUCACGGGGUGACGGAGCUGAGCGGAUGCUAGCCCAAAGAUGGGCCGGGACGACCCCAGCCCCACAGGUGGCUGGAGAAACCUGGUCUGUGGCCACGGGCUCGACCACGGGCCCAGAGAGAAAGGCUCCUGUGUGGAAAUGCCUUGGGAAAAGGUGCUCGGGCCCAUCAGCCCCACCCGCGGGGCCCGGAAGUCUCCUCUAGCCUGUCCUGCUCUCCGGGAAGAAGAAAGGAGGUGGAAUGUCUUCUAAAGUGACGGAUCCUUUGCUGAUCUCCCUGAUGGGGACCAGAACUGGGCAGCAGACCAGGACCCAGAACCAGACUGGUUCUGGUUUUCCAGGCAGAAUGCAGUUGUCUCCGACGGAUGUGAUUUUCUGCGAUCCUUCCAGACCCCUAGGCCGCCUCCUCCACAGGAGCUGGGAGGGCAGCCAAUGAGGCCAGCAAUAAAGCCCACGGCACCCUUUCCCCAUUAGCCUGUCAGACAUCAGGCCUCACAUGCUUGGGCUACACAAUCCUCCGCUGGCCUCACCCCAGUGGUCCAUGCCAGCCCCAUCCCAAGAGUCCGAACUGACCCCAGAGCCUCCCUCCUGCCCCCGGGGGUGGGGGAAUUGGGGGCACUGAGGCCGAAGAGAACUCAAGAACUGCCAAGAUCAACAAGAAGGGAACAGGCCCUCUUGCCCAAGAGGAAUCCUGCCAAUCACCACAUGCAGUUUUGCCCCCUGUGCCAGCUCUCCCCUUCGCAAGGCUUCAUGGGGGAAGGGAGAAGAGACAGUCCCAAAUCACAGGGCCAAGCGGCUUGAAAAUUCAGCCAGCCAGAAGGAACCAGAUGCCCCAGAGAAAGCAGAGAGACUUCCAAGCCACCACAGAGAAGUUUCUACACCCAGAGGGGAGGACCGGACCGGAACGGCUGCAACAAGGGAAUCUGUGUGGAUAGACCCCGGACCUGAGAGUCAGAAGGACCCGGGUUCUAAUCCUGCCUCUUCAACUUGUCUGCUGUGUGAU